CGGGCGUAUUUCGCCUCACAGUAGGUCGCCGCGACCCGUUGCUUUUGGGGACGUCGAAGGCCCGGACGGAUUGGUACCCUACCGGCUGGGGAUGCGGCUUCGGCUUCUCCUCUUGUCCGGUGGGCGAAACCGCCGGUGUCCUGGCUGCCCUGCGACGGUCGUAGAGACGAGCCCUCCCCUUCGGGGGGGCGGCUCUCGCGGCGUGCAAAAGGUCGGUGAUCCACCCGACCCGUCUUGAAACACGGACCAAGGAGUCUAACAUGUGUGCGAGUCAGUGGGCGCACUAAACCCAGAGGCGUAAUGAAAGUGACACGGGUUCGGCUGUCGCCUCGUGUGGCAGCCGGACUCAGGGCCGAUCCCUCACCGGUUGCCCUCGCCUCUCUCCCGCGUCUCGGUAAGCCGGGUGAGCUAUUUUCCCCGGCCGCUGCUGCGGGGCGGCGGGGGGAGGCGGGGUGCGAUGGUGUCCGUAAAAAAGAGCCUGCUGUUGCAGGGGGGCGCAGGCCCGGGACUUGCCAGGACGCCGCGAGACUGUCACUUUGCUGUGAGGCUCUCGGGCCGAUCAGCGGGUCAUGCGUGCAGUCGGCAAGUACCAUGAGCAGACAUGUUGGGACCCGAAAGAUGGUGAACUAUGCCUGGCCAGGAUGAAGCCAGAGGAAACUCU
RNAcentral lists this ribosomal RNA (661 nucleotides) under Creaserinus limulus. RNAcentral describes it as "partial 28S large subunit ribosomal RNA". The stretch from base 246 to 661 matches the Rfam family "Eukaryotic large subunit ribosomal RNA", at positions 665 to 865 of the family's 3401-position model. Lineage: Eukaryota; Metazoa; Arthropoda; Malacostraca; Decapoda; Cambaridae. The record is from RNAcentral.